RNAcentral lists this long non-coding RNA (13183 nucleotides) under Nicotiana tabacum (common tobacco). RNAcentral's name for it is "long non-coding RNA (NTAB_LNC002123)". The record is from RNAcentral. Lineage: Eukaryota; Viridiplantae; Streptophyta; Magnoliopsida; Solanales; Solanaceae.
AGACCUAUGUAACCUAGGCUCUGAUACCAACUUGUCACGACCCUAAAACUGACCCAGUCAUGAUGGCGCCUAACGAGAAACUAGGCCAGCCGACACAAUUCCCAAAACCAACCAGAAAUUUAAAAUAAGUCAUUUUAAGCCAUUCAUUAGCUAAAAUCCCAUAAUAUAAGUGCGGAAAUAUAAGACAAGCCCGACAUUGGGGUGUCACCAAUUAUGAGCAACUACAACUCGUCUAGGAACAAGAAAAGACAACAUUGUCCGAAAAUAAAAUAAUAAGACAAUCUAAAUAAGAUAGGAAGGAGAAGCACUGGGUUGCGAAUGCCAAGCAGCUACCUAGUCAACUCCGGAGACCUGCUGGAAGACUGAUCAGCACUCAUUAUCGCGCCUCAAGACUCCUGGAUUUGCACACAAGGUGCAAGGAGUAAUGUGAGUACGCAAACUCAGUAAGUAAUAAAAGUAAAGGCAACUGAGCAGUAAGAAACAGGUAAUUUCACGUCAUAGAACCACAACAAAAUAGUAUAUGUGUAGGAUCAAUACAGUAAAUCAACAAAACUCAUAAAAAUAGCUCAGUUCAGUAAAACCUUUUUAAAACAUCUUUCAAUAGUUUCAAACAAGUGAUAAAAACAGUGAGUAAAGGAUAGAAAUGUAAACAGCCCCUCGGGCAAAACAUGUACCACAACCGCCCCUCGGGCAAAAUAUCAACAGAACCAGCCCCGCGGGCUACCUCACAAUCACUCGUAAUCAGCCCCUCGGGCAAUAACAUGAAACAGCAAUAGCCCCUUGGGCAAUAUCACAUCUCCCACUGGGUACCCGUGCUCAUUGGGGGUGUUCAGACUCCGGGGGGGCUCCUACAGCUCAAGCGCUAGGGCAAUAUCACAUCUCACACUGGGUACCUGCGCUACCUGGGGGUGUUCAGACUCCGAAAGGGCUCAUACAGCCCAAGCGCUAUCAUAAGUCAUCUCGUGGCAUAUCAAAUCAGGCCUUCGGCCUCUCAUAUAUCACAAAUCAGUACACAUGCUGCGGCGCGCAGUCUGAUCCCAUAAUAAUCCUCACAACACAGGCCCUCGGCCUCACUCAAUCAGAAACCUCUCAAGCCACUCGGGUAACAGUAAACAUGAUGCUCAGCCCAAAAUAUCAUUUAAAAUAUAAAAACGGAGUAAAUACGGCUGAGUUAUGAAAAUAGUAGAAUACAGCAUGACUGAGUAUAAGUAUGAAGUCAAAACAGCGAGGAAUAGUAGUAAAAUGCCCCUAAGGGUCCAAAACAGUUGGCACGAGGCCCAAAUAUGGAAUUCAGCCCAAAACAUGGUAAUAAUUUUCCAAAGCACAAUGAUAUCAAACAGUUUUCAAUCAAAUACGCGACUUAGCAGUCAUAUGGGACGGACUAAGUCACAAUCCCCAACGGUGCACGACCCCACGCUCGUCAUCUAGCGUGUGCAUCAACUCAAAGUAGCACAACGAUGUAAAAUUCAGGGUUUUAUACCCUCAGGACAACAUUUACAAUCAUUACUUACCUCAAUCCAGUUCAAACUCUAGCCCGCGAUGCCUUUGCCCCUCGAAUCGGCCUCCAAUUGCUCCAAAUCUAACCAAAAUUAGUAUCUUAUCGUUAAUACGCGCUAAAGGAACAAAGCCCAAGCGAAAAUAAUCAAAUUACAUCCCGAAAUUGGACAAACCCGACCCCCGGGCCCACGUCUCGGAUUCCCAUAAAAAUUAAAAAACUAGAAUCCUUACACUCCCAUGAGUUCAUACAUAUCAAAUACAUCAAAAUCCGACCACAAACAGCCCUCAAAUCCCUAAAUCAAAGUCUCCAAUUUCAAGCCUUAAUUCCCCAAUUUUAGGCUUUAAAUCCCAUAAAUUUCAUGUCUAAUUAAGUAGAAAUUAUCAUAGAAUCGAGUAUUGAGUUCAAAAAUCUUACUUCCAAGUAUUUCCCUUCGAUUCUCUCUUCAAUCCCUCUCAAAAAGCUUCAAAACCGCUCAACAAUGGUGGAAAUAGACCAAAAAUCACGAAGGCCACUAUUUAAACAUUCUGCCCAGGUGUGAUUUCCUUCUUUGCGAAUGCGGUCAAAGCCUCGCAUUCGUGAAAUACAAAAAUCCAUUGACUAAUUAUUCCUCCUUCUCGAAAGCGAUUCUUCAACCGUCCGAGCCUUCGCGAACGUGACUAUACCCACGCGAACGCGAAGCACAAAAUCCUGGGGACCCAGCUGUUCCAGUUACUCUACGCGAACGCGGGACGUACUUCGCGUUCGCGAUGCACACUCUGCCUCACCCUUCGCGAACGUGGGACCAACAUUGCGAACGCAAAGGGAAAUUCUCCUGCCUCACUUCACAUCCCUUCGCGAACGCGAGAACCCCCUCGCGAAUGCGAAGGACAAAUCUCUGCAACACAGAACUGAAGAAAUGUGCAACUUCUAAAAACAAGAAUUUUUAUCCGUUAACCACCCGAAACUCACCUGAGGCCCUCAGGACCUCAAAUAAACAUGUCAACACAUCUCAUAAUAUCAUUCAAACUUGUUCCAACCUUCGGAAUUAUCACAUCCCAAAUUACUCCCUAAACGUGACUAGCACCUGGCUAACACCACCCGCUAGGCGAACCAUACUUUCAUACCUUAACCAUUAAUUUGUAAUAUUUAGUUAAUUAUGAGUAUCCAAAUAAUUUGAUAAUUAAUUAUCAACAAUUGGUAUCUCAAAUUAUUAAAUUAAAACUUUAGCAAAAAUUCUACACUAGACCAUGGAGCAUCUAAGAGAAUUACAAAAGACAUCAUAUGGAUAAAUGAUAAAGACUCUUUUGGCAACCUCUACGAACAAUGCGGCGGUUUACCUCAAUAACUGAAUCAACUCCAGCGAACUCGUCAGCUAUUAGCUCCGUCUUCACCAAUGGUAUCUGCAUAGACAUGUAGAUAAGGAGUGAGAUAUAUGUAAAUAUAACUCAGUAAGAUCCUCGACCCGCAACUUUAAAUACCUCUGGAACAAAUGUUGGAAAAUACAAACAUACCACAACAUGAAUGAUAUAGUAACUACGAUAAUUAUACAAUAACUCAAUAUAUGUGUAUCAUAAGAGUUAUUAAAAAUUAACCAACAAGGAUACCCACUAAGGACUUAUCAUAAUUGCAGUGAAAGAAAUAUACCAACACACUACGAGUCCACAAUGACACCACAAUGUCUCAAAUAUGUAACAGAGCAUACACAAUGCUCGGGUGAUGUACAAAGGCAUGCACAAUGCCCCAACAUCAUGGUACACAGUCAUAUCAAACUCGACAUCAUAGCGCACAGCCGUAUCAAACGCAACAUCAUGGCGCACAGCCGUAUCAAACUCAAUAUCAUGACGCACAACCGUAUCAAACUCAACAUCAUGGCACACAGUCGUAUCAAACUCAAUAUCAUGGCGCACAGCCGUAUCAAACUCAAUACCAUGGCGCACAGCUGUAUCAAACUCAAUAUCAUGGCGCACAGCCGUAUCAAACUCAAUAUCAUGGCGCACAGCCAUAUCAAACUAUAAAACUCAACCUAUGGCGCACAGUCGUAUCACACUAUCAAACAACUUAUAAAAUAAUAUUUGUUUUUUUCAUAAAAUAAUAUAUUUGCAGCUAGUCUAAGACCAUCGAUUCUAUCAAGCGCACGCUUGUCCCAACACAUAGACCGGGCAAAGAAAACAUAUUUUUAAAACGGGUUUUAGAAAAGCAAGAAUCAAAGCUUAAAGUAUCACUUACCUUGCUAACAGAAAGUUCCGCAAACCUUGCAACAUCUAGAAUCCCAAUCAAACGGGCCUCAAUGACUUCAAUCUAUGUAAAAUAUAAAUGAAUAAUUUCAAUUAUACUAGUGAGGUCCAAUUCUAUUCUUUCCUUAAUGUCAGGCUUAGAAUUACAUCUUAAUAUUCUACACCUCAACUCAUGAAUAUAUAAAAAAAAAAAUCAUGAUAUUAAAGUACAAUUUGGUACUCAAUAUAUGACCUGCUAACCAGUUGACUAAUCCUUCAGUUAUACACAUUCAAACACUAGUUCAACAUAAAAUUAUCUCUAAACAUAAUAUGACAGAGUGUUCUUUUUGCAAAUAUACGUGGACAUAUUUUGAAAUGUGAAGUUCAAAUCUUAUUUACAUAAGUAUAACUAAUCAAACAUUGUAGCAAAUAUCUGAAACGUAUUUCCUAUGCAAGGUUCCAAAAAAAAAUUAACUUUAAAAAUGUAACUCUCGAAAAGUUUUGUCUAUUAUUAAAGAGNNNNNNNNNNNNNNNNNNNNNNNNNNNNNNNNNNNNNNNNNNNNNNNNNNNNNNNNNNNNNNNNNNNNNNNNNNNNNNNNNNNUCAUUGACUAAUAUUUUUUUUGGUGGAAAAACUAACAAAUUUAGGACUGAAGCAUAACUUUUAUUAUUAAUGUAGUCCUAUCAAAAUCAACUACAAAAGAUUCCAUUAUAAUCAUAAAUGACCGAAUUCGAAUGCACCCGGAUACAUGGUUAUACGCUGAGAAAGAAUGUUCGAUCUUCAAAACAAGUAAUGGUAGAUUAAUCAAAAUAUAAUUAAUAUAUUCUAAUUUUGCGAUAGCGAUUCAUUAUUUUAUAAUCAUUUGAAAAUAAUUACAAGAGUAUUUUUUAUUGAUAAAAAAUAGUUACAAUUUUUAUUUGAAUCACGGGAAAAAAUAAAUAUGAUUCUCUUUUGUUAGUUGUUAACCGGAUUGUUUCUUCUAGAAUGAACUUAAGAAUAUAUAGCUUUCCAAUAAAAAUUCAGAAAAAAAAAACUCUUAAAUCUCAAGGAUAUGUAUUCAAAAAUUAAAGUAAUGUAAUUAUAAAACUGGGUAAUAUUUAAGUUGAGUAUAUAGUGACUGAGAUGAUUGAGGGUUUCUAUGAGAUUGAGUUUCUUCCUAUUAUCGAGUUAUCUAAAUAUGUUCAACAAUCAUUAUUUUUAGGAGUCACUUUUUCUAUUUAACUUCUGUCAUAUACCUCAAACAACCUUUUACUAAAAUACUAAUGUGAAUUUUUUUAAAAUUUAAUUUAUUGAGACAGGACCCAAAAUUGGCCUUGGCCUCCCACAUGUAUAAGCCCUUUGUGAAAGGCAUCUCGAAUUUUCCUUUUGUAUCAAGUAAAUCCAGAAAAUUGGUCUUGGCCUCCCAAACAUUAUGUGCCUUUUACUUUACUGUUUUUCCAGCAUUUGUGUGUGUGUGUGUGUGUUUGUCUUAGCUUGAGCACGAGUUUGUGUUUGUUUCUUGGUUAGGACUGAAGCUUGGAGCAGCAUAUAAGCUGUCUAGUUGUCCGCACGUAGCUUACUUGAGUUAAGCCCGUGACAAGUGGUAUACAUAUAUAUAAGGGCCAAUAAGAGAUGAGUUGGCACCUCUCCAAAGCCAAGAUGCACAUUUAUCUUUUUCUCAUUUUUUUUGCCAUUCUUUCCCUUUUUUUCCUUCCCUUUUUCCUUAUUUUUAAAAUCGUUGAUGUUCAUGUGUUAGAACUCCAAAUGUUGCAUCUUUAGCUGAAAGCUACCUCUUUAAUUCCUAAUAACUACACCUUAAAUGUCUCUUCGAACGGACUUUACAAAGAGUCCAAACAUUUCCUCUUUAUCCAAACGUUUUCUCUUUAAUUCCUAAAUAACUACAAAUGAAAUGCCUUUUAAUAGGCUUUACAAAGCAUUCAUCGUUCAAAGUUCACUUUUCAGUAUUAUUUAUCCACUAAUGAAGUUGCCCGCGCAUACAAGACAUCAAUAUUAAAUUUAUAAAAUGAUAUUUUCGACUUCUUGUUGUUGUUACUAUUCUAUUAUCGUAUUUUAUCUUGUGCAGAGGUUCUAUUCGGAAACAGCCUCCCUACUCCAUGGUAGGGAUAAGGUCUGCAUUACACACUACCCUCCCUAGACCCCACUUGUGAAAUUAUACUGGGUUGUUGUUGUUGUUGAUAUUUUUGACUUCUUGUGAAAAGAAGAAAUGAAAAAGUUUCAUGUAACCUUGACCAAUCUAUAACUAAUUUGAAUUAUUUAUUUCUUUUUCACUUUGAGUUAUAAGUUUGACUUUAAUAUACAUUCCAUCCAAUAUAAUUUGAACUAUUUAGCUAAUUUUUUUUUGUUUUUGUUUUGAAGGCUACUUUGCUAUUUGAAACAAAUCUACUCGUAUUUCUUCCACAACUACCUUAAAGAUGAAUUUUCUGGCCAAGAUAUAAUAUUUUUCAUAUUGAUAAAAUGCCUAGUUUUAUUUUUCAAAAUAAUAGGAAGCUGGAUUUUUCUCUUUGAUCGAUCAGAUCAAUUGGAUUAUCAAUUUCAUUUUCAAGGGAAAAAAGUUCUCUAAAACUUUGAAAAAUAAUUAAUAAUAUAGCUGCUGGUCUUAGGUCUAUAUAGAACUACACUAAAUAACAAAAAAAUCAAAAUCAAUAAGAUAUUGACAACAACUAAACUAAUGACAAUAUUUGACAUGUAAAAUAUUUUUAUGAAUAUAAAAUAACUGAAGAAACUUAUGAUAAUUAAAGUAAUUUUAUGAGAUAAAAUUCAGAUAUGACCUACUGCCUUUGGGAUUGUUUAUAUGAAGAAUCAAUCUAAAUAAACAUUCACCCAAUCGCUUAAACUUAAAAUAGCCCGUGGAUGUAUAAUUUGUAAAUAAUCCAUGUAUAAUCAUCAUCCGCAAAAAGAAAAAGACGAAAGAGAACAAAAAAAAUGUAAAAGAGAAAGGAAAAAACAAAUAAAUCCCACAAAUUAGACAUUAGCAAAAAAGACGAAAAAGUGAGAAAUUGAGAAUACAAGAGAUUAAAAAAUGUUAAGGUAUUCAAUAAUCUAUAUAAUAGUAGAGAAAACAUCAAAUAUCAAAUACUGCUCAAAUUAUAAAACAAAACGUAUGCAACAUUGAGUACCAAUACAAUAGUAUUAAAAAUAAAAAAGAGGAGUAAAAGAUCCCUAUAUCAGUGGUGGAAAAUGACAAAAAUAAGUUAGCCACAAUAACAAAGAAAUCAAUAAUAGAGAUUGAAUGACAAAAAAGUGAGAAUGCAAGAGAUUCUAGGAAGAAGGAAUUCUGAAAGCUACAAGUUUAAAGUGGAAAAUCAAAAGGCAGAAGAGGUAAUAACAAAUGUAUGGAAAAUCAACAUCAUGGCACACAAUCGUAUCAAACUCAAUAUCAUGGCGCACAGCCGUAUCAAACUCAAUACCAUGGCGCACAACCGUAUCAAACUCAAUAUCAUGGCGCACAGCUGUAUCAAACUCAAUAUCAUGGCGCACAGCCAUAUCAAACUAUAAAACUCAACCUAUGGCGCACAGUCGUAUCACACUAUCAAACAACUUAUAAAAUAAUAUUUGUUUUUUUCAUAAAAUAAUAUAUUUGCAGCUAGUCUAAGACCACCGAUUCUAUCAAGCGCACGCUUGUCCCAACACAUAAACCGGGCAAAGAAAACAUAUUUUUAAAACGGGUUUUAGAAAAGCAAGAAUCAAAGCUUAAAGUCUCACUUACCUUGCUAACAGAAAGUUCCGCAAACCUUGCAACAUCUAGAAUACCAAUCAAACGGGCCUCAAUGACUUCAAUCUAUGUAAAAUAUAAAUGAAUAAUUUCAAUUAUACUAGUCAGGUCGAAUUCUAUUCUUUCCUUAAUGUCAGGCUUAGAAUUACAUCUUAAUAUUCUACACCUCAACUCAUGAAUAUAUAAAAAAAAUCAUGAUAUUAAAGUACAAUUUGGUACUCAAUAUAUGACCUGCUAACCAGUUGACUAAUCCUUCAGUUAUACACAUUCAAAAACUAGUUCAACAUAAAAUUAUCUCUAAACAUAAUAUGACAGAGUGUUCUUUUUGCAAAUAUACGUGGACAUAUUUUGAAGUGUGAAGUUCAAAUCUUAUUUACAUAAGUAUAACUAAUCAAACAUUGUAGCAAAUAUCUGAAACGUAUUUCCUAUGCAAGGUUCCAAAAAAAAAUUAACUUUAAAAAUGUAACUCUCGAAAAAUUUUGUCUAUUAUUAAAGAGCAAGUUUAUUGUUAUAAUUUAUUUUUAUUCUCGAGGUGUGACCAGUAUAAUCAUGUCUGACAUAAUCCCUUUACUCUCACACUUAAUUCUUGUCACCAUUAUACAAAGAACUAAUAAGAAUAUCUCUCUUAAAUUAAUACAAGAAAUAUAGCUAUAGGGAUUAGAAUUGAUACCUUGCCAUUACUAUUGAGUUGCAAGAAUAUUUCGCUCUCCCUAGCUUUCAAGUUCUCGCCACCAAAUAAUUAGGAAAAUCCCUAAUGCCGUUAGCCCUAUAUAUUUUGUUGCCUCUACAUAAUAGCCAAAACAAGAAUAUUUUAAUGCCCUAAUGCCCUCUAGAUCGUUGGCAGCAAUUGAGAUGGGUUGACCCAGUUAGUUACUUUUAUUAUCUAAGGUCCAUGAUUAUUUAACUAUCAUACGUAAUGUAAAUUGGCUCACUAGAAAAAAACUAGUAUACUAUCUUAUAAAUCAAGGUAAAUUCUCUUCCACUAACUUAUUAUUUAAUCCAAUAACUACAAACUAAAUAAUUCUCUAAUUUCACAACUAAUGAAUAUGUAAUAAUAUAUUUUUUUUUCGGGUUAUUACAUUCUCUCCCACUUAAAUAAAAUGUUCGUCAUCGAACGAGUUAGAAAAUGUAUCUGACAUCUCAGAUAAUUGUAGGUACUUUAUGCGCAUGUAUACCUCAGACUCCCACAUAGCUUCCUUUAUGUGUUUGUUGCGACAUAACAUAUUCACUUAAGCAACCUUCUUCGAGCUCAAUUAUCACAUUCGCUUAUCAACAAUAACUAUGGGACGUUGUUCGUUAUUCAAAAUUUUCAUCUAGUUCCCUUCCUUAGACUAAAUUUUAUAUGACUUUCGUCACAAACACAUAAAACACAAGAUGUAUAACUGAAAGUCCUGAGGGCAAGGCAAGUCUAUAUGCCACUAACCCAAUCUCAUUCAUAAUCUCAUAACUCCUUUAUGGUAGAGUAUAUCCAAGCGUCAUAAUCAUAGUCCUACAGUGGAAAACAUCCACAAAUUUUAUAUACGGCAAUGUUAAAACACAUAACACUCGUACAUAAUAUUCUUGCGUACGGUAGUUAUGGAACACAUCCAGACAUCCUUAUGUAGAUAUUACAUGCCACAUUACCCUUGUCACAUAUACAAUAUGGGCGUCUCAUAAUAUUGCACUAUAUUUCAAGCAUAUCGCUACAUAGGCUAUUAUGUUAUAUAAUCAAUCCAGAAUGAGUUAAGCAUGCGAUAUCGUUGAGCCAAUCGUGAUCACCUAAACUAUAAUCACCAUGUAGACCAACUACUGAGUCUACGACGAUCUAUUUUCGCUUUCUUCCAGAGAAAUAUGUUUGCGAUAAUUUACCGAGUCUCUAACACUCACAUUUAGUAUAUUAACAGUUCAUACACUAAAGAAAAAUAUCUAUGAUAUCAUAUAUCACCCUCUACUGUCAUUAGCUCUCUUUCUCAAAUCCCAAUGCAUAUAACUAGACCUUGAAGGUAAUUAAUGUUUCAAGUGAUAUAUCUCAUCGAGUAUGAGUCUCCCUACGUCAACCACCACGAGUGUACACAUAUUGCAUUCUUUAGCCAUAAUAUUCUCUCUUUAUUCACUAUCAAGUAUAACUCGUCUCUAAGAGCUGAUCACUAUCUCCAAUAAGGUUAAGACUCUCGUACCGGUGAAUUUUGCUUGUUUGAAACAAAGAAAAUUGCAAUAUGGCACAAGCUAUUGCCUUAGUAGGCGUCACACCAUCAACCUGCCAACCUUUUUACUAGACAUCACAAGGCUCAACAUACAAUAAUACAAAAAUUAUAAUUCACAGUUUUAACCUUGCUAUUUAAUCGGAUUUAUCUCGAUGCCUAUAGAAACCUCCUCCACAAAUAUGCAUGCUUCUAUCAGCCAUAAAAAUAUUCUCAUAGGUCAAUAGUGAACAUGAUUAACAAGAAUGUUAAGAAACAGUUUCAAUAUUUAGUUCAUCUAGUCCAUGAUAAUUACUAACCAAAACAGGUCUAUGUAUAUGUUUCUAAAAUAUAUACACUUUUUAUCUUCUAGUCAUGAUGUACCAAUCACAAGUCUAGCUUAGAAUAGAAGGUAAUACCUUAUAACUGAGGGCACAAAUCAUCUAACUUAUAAAAUAUACUUGCAUGUCAUGACACUUUAAGUCUUCUAUCUAUUAUCGAUAAUUAUAUGCUUAGAUCCACUAUUCUUCUCGAAGUACAUAACUUAAGAGCAGCAAAGUGAUAUACUUGGUCUGAUGACUUCUUAAUUAUAAAGUCUUAUAUUUUGCUCUUUUAGUUCCUUUAACUCUAUAGAGCUUUUCUAUAAUAUCAAAAAAAUACAUAUAUAAAUUAGGCUUCUUGUGCUAUAUCCAUACCCAAGUCUAUCUCCACUUCAUGUGGUAAACUCGAUAGGUUCUCUGAAAAUACAUUUGGAACUUAAUUAACUGUUAAGACUAUCCUAAUAGUUAGGUAUUCAACACUGCUGCCCUGAGGUAUAGUUAGAUGCAACACAUAACCUUCAUCUCUCAACUCAUUCAUAAUUUUUUAUUUUUUUGAAGGAUAAUAUUUAAUCAUCAUUUAUAACUUCAUAUGCAACUCUUUUAGAAUGAUUAACAUGACUUGUCAUUACUCAAUUACUUUACCUUAUAGAAAGGUACAAAUGCCUUUAUUCUCCUCCGACUUGUUUCUACCUUUGGGGUUAUAACAUUGCUGAAUUUUCAUCCCAGCAUUUAGCUUUUAAAAUCCAUCACAAUUCCAAUUUAUUACCUUUAAACCAUGCUUACUCUUCAUUCAUGUUCGGUUAGUGUUGGCUCACUCUUUUUAUUGCUAGUUACUUCUUUUCGUUUCCCCUUCUUAAGAGCUAUUCCCGUAGUUGUCAUUGUAUUAUUUUAUAAUUACCUUUUUUUUAUUCCAUACAACCUCGUAUAUGUUGCCAAAUUGAGCAUGGGAAUUGCACAUAUAUGAGUAUGAACUCCCUGAAACAAGGGAAAAAAAUUUCUUAUGAAACUAACUCAAAAAUCCUUAUUCUUUCUUAACCAUGGUAUCAUCUCAUCAACAAAUACUUUUUUUUUCAAAGUCCAAGUGGUACAAAGUACAACGCUUAUCAAGACAAUUGUUUAAACUGAACAAUAUGUUUAGUAAUAUUCGUGCUACUUCAUUUCAAGUACUCAAACUCGUUGACAAUCUUAGUACUCUAUGUCUUACCCCUUUAUAACAUCUAUUACGUCGUGGAAACUCAUGGACCCUGGGUCCCUAAUAUCCCGCACAUCUAUUCCACAAUGCAUAACAAAUCAAGCAAAUAGUGUGAGGCCCUACAAUCCCAUGCGUCUUACUCGAAUUUUAAUUGACGAAGUAUGCCAAGAUUUACUGAGUCUCAUACUCAAUAACUUACUAUCUUGGUGUAUUAGAUCUCAUGCCUAAGGUUUUCUUUCUCUCACUCAAUAAUCCAAACUUAAUCACAAACUCCUACUAUAUAUAUACUUGUUAUAGCUCAUGAAAUCCUAUUAAUACGCUCACGCUCAACGCCGCAUUCACAUUUAUAACAUCAUUAUUGCGUUAUUCACUAAUAAUAGUAAAUCGCUUCAAAGCGCUUUCCUUAAAUUUGUCUUUAACCACCACACCCAAUAGCCUAGACAUGGCUAAGCUAUAUUACUUAUUACUUCUUCUUUCUUUUUCUUUUUCUUUUUUUUGCUCAACUCUUUUCCUCUCCUUAUUAGGCUCAUAAUGAAAAUUUAUAACCACAAACUCAAAUCCUGACAAGUUGCUCAUAGGAAAUAAACAUAUGCUUAGGUUACUUAACCGUCCACCCAAAUUUUUAUGAACUGUCUAAUCAGAACUAGAACCAAUGCAUAAUACAUUACAUGUAAUCAAGGCCACUCUAACCUGAACAUAUAUUAUUUAAAACUUCCAAGUCAAUUAUCUCAUACAGCAGCGGAGGAUACGCGUGUCCUAUCCAUCUGCGAAAGGGACAUUCCAAGUUUAAACUCGAUUUAACUUAACGCACGAAUAAGAACUGAAAGAAGGGAAAACAUCCUAGAUGUUUAGCAGCCUCAAGGUCAUAAGUAUGGACGUCGACAUACUCAUGAACAAGACUCUACCAAACACUGCUCCAUGACACGGGAUAAAAAGCCUAAGCUCGUAUACCAACUUGAUCACGUCCCAAAUUACUCACUAGACGUGACUAGCACCCAGCUAACACCACCUGCUAGGCGAACCAUACUUUCAUACCUUAACCAUUAAUUUGCAAUAUUUAGUUAAUUAUGAGUAUCCAAAUAAUUUGAUAAUUAAUUAUGAACAAUUGGUAUCUCAAAUUAUUAAAUUAAAACUCUAGCAAAAAUUCUACACUAGACCAUGGAGCAUCUAAGAGAAUUACAUAAGACAUCAUAUGGAAAAAUGAUAAAGACUCUUUUGGCAACCUCCACGAACAAUGCGACGGCUCACCUCAAUAACUGAAUCAACUCCAGCAAACUCGUCAGCUAUUAGCUCCGUCUUCACCAAUGGUAUCUGCAUAGACAUGCAGAUAAGGAGUGAGUUAUAUGUAAAUAAUAACCCAGUAAGAUCCUCGACCCGCCACUUUAAAUACCUCUGGAACAAGUGUUGGAAAAUACAAACAUACCACAACACGAAUGAUAUAGUAACUACGAUAAUUAUAUAAUAACUCAAUAUAUGUGUAUCAACAGAGUUAUUAAGAAUUAACCAAUAAGGAUACCCACUAAGGACUUAUCAUAAUUGCAGUGAAAGAAAUAUACCAACACAUUACGAGUCCACAACGAUACCACAAUGUCUCAAAUAUGUAACAGAGCAUACACAAUGUUCGGGUGAUGUACAAAGGCAUANNNNNNNNNNNNNNNNNNNNNNUCAAACGCAACAUCAUGGCGCACAGCUGUAUCAAACUCAACAUCAUGGCGCACAGCCGUAUCAAACUCAACAUCAUGGCGCACAUCCGUAUCAAACUCAAUAUCAUUGCGCACAGCCGUAUCAAACUCAAUAUCAUGGUACACAUCCAUAUCAAACUAUAAAACUCAACCUAUGGCGCACAGUCGUAUCACACUAUCAAACAACUUAUAAAAUAAUAUUUGUUUUUUCUAUAAAAUAAUAUAUUUGCGGCUAGUCUAAGACCACCAAUUCUGCCAAGCGCACACUUGUCCCAAUACAUAGACCGGGCAGAGAAAACAUAUUUUUAAAAUGGGUUUUAGAAAAGCAAGAUUCAAAGCUUAAAGUCUCACUUACCUCGCUAACAGGAAGUUCCGCAAAUCUUGCAACGUCUAGAAUACCAGUCAAACGGGCCUCAAUGACUUCAAUCU